This is a long non-coding RNA of Ornithorhynchus anatinus (platypus), 3397 nucleotides long. RefSeq lists it as uncharacterized. The record is from RefSeq and is a predicted model, not a curated record. Lineage: Eukaryota; Metazoa; Chordata; Mammalia; Monotremata; Ornithorhynchidae. The transcript is spliced from 9 exons.
CCAAAAUAGACAAGGGAAGAACUGCUUCAGCCACUGAUGUACACGGGUCUCUGCAAGAACACAAGAAGCCUGAAUUGGCUUAAAGUGGGCUCCUGGAGAUGCGAUGAAGAGAGACAACCCAGAUUUACUGCCUGGCUUUGCACUCCUUAAUCGUCCCCUUCAGUGUUAAUGGAGGAAGGAGAGAAGCUUCCCCAGAGGGCAAACACCUGGGAAAACCUGCCUUCUGCUUCCAGCACCCCCACAGGAUGAUGAAGGGUGUUAGAAGGGCCUGCUGUGUGCGUGCAAGGACCCUGAGUUCAUCCCCGAGGAAUUUUGUGUCUUAAAAGGAAAAACAGCAAUUUCCCUGGCCCUGAAGAGAGAAAAUCUGAUCCUCUGAGCUCAUCCCUAGACUCAUCUGCCUUUCCUGAAGCUGAGAGAGAGGAAUCUGCUUGCCCUCCCAGGAACACUGAGACCCCUGGUUUAGGAAGAUUUGAUGAGUUCAAAUUCUGGCACCUUCCAUUUCCGGGGCAUCAGACAGCAGCCUUCCCCCGGAGCCCGAGUUCGCCAUGUAUCAGUCGAUCUCAACUCAGCCACCAGCCUGGCUGAGGAGGCCAAGUCUCGGGCAGGAGCGACCAUCAACCCCUUGCAAGACCCCCCCCCAGGACCGGGUGAAAUGGUCUGGGAGAGGCAUCCCAUCAACCUGCCUUUGCGAUAACAGAAUCCAGUUGAAACCUGUCAGCAGACGCCCACCCUGCAAGUCAGCUUAUCCCUCUGCCAUGAGGUCAAGUUCAGAAGCAGUGAAGAAGCAGAGUCCCUUCCUUGGCGGAAUCAAAUACCAUCAGGUAUUUUGCCUCACAACUAGUGUAUGGGUCUUGCGAGGUUGCACUGAAAUUGGGCUGAAGUCUGUAAAGACAAAGAGUAAAGUUCUCCCCAUCCUCAUUUCCACCAAAACACUCAGAUUGAAUUAUAAUCUGAAGUAGAGGAAUACUUCGGUAUACAAGACUGGGGUAUGGAAAGCAUCCAAUUAAAUGAAUAUUAAUUCAUAUCUAACUCUAUCCAGUGGCCUAAACUGAUAGGACAAAUUUUAAGUAAUUUUAGAAAGUAAGCCUAGCACUUACCUUAAAAACAAAACAAAAAAAACCCUUGGGUCUUUGAGCCCUGUUUCCUUUAUUUACAAACAAAGCAAGAUCUGCUUAUGGGUAUGAGACACUUAAGGAGCAGAGAGCAUUUUUACAUUCUGAGGCAAAAACCAGGCCUUACCAUCACAUCUGAAUCAUACACUGGCCAAGACUUGUGUUCUCCUAAAAGACAUCGGGGCUGAAAAAUUGUGUUCCACAUUUUAAACAGCUAUUGACUUAAAAAUCCAAAGUUACAAAAGCCCUAGAAAAUGUGGUUAAUAAUGGAAAUACCAAUGAACUGCAAUUAUAGUGGUACUUCUGGGUGUCACUAUUAUGAGAGUAUACGGUACUCUAGAGUGAGGUAUAACCUGGACUUAGAUAGCAACCCCUCCUCUCCUUUGAUUUAUGCCGUAUUUCGAUAGCCGUAGAAACAUACCAUUCUUGUUUGCUCUCCUCUGAACAGAGGUCUGGAGACGGUAAGGAUUUUCCCCACAGCUUGUUCACGCCUCUCUUUGUAAGUAUUCUCCAGCUCCUUUAUAUCACACGUAUUUUUUUCAUUUUUCUUGUCACCAAGAUUCAUUAGAUCCCAAUCUACAGAAUGAUGUGUUUUCUUGAUUGAAAGAGCCAGCCCUUUCUUCCUACCUUCAACUGGUGGACAAGAAUUGGGAUACAAGGAUGGCUCCCAUUUACGAUCACGUUUGGGUUACUUGCUUUGAUAGAAAAGUGCCAUUAUAUAAAGUCACUGAAUUGGAUACAGUCCAAUCCCACUAAUAAAAUUAGCACCCUGCCUACAGUAGCUCACUGUAUAAAGUGAGAGACACACUGCAGUCAGAGGGUGAAAGGUGGGUAGGAGGGGCAGCCGAGGGAGCCAGGGACCCCCAGAGGCCCCAGUGGACCCCCUUUCUUCCUACAUGGCUGCUGGGGAGAAGCUCUGCCUCCAGCAGGUGCGGAGAGCUAGCGAGUUUUGCGGCCGGGAGCCUGGGCGACGUUAAGGUCGCUGGUUAGGUUGGGGCAGGGUUGUCCUCCCUGGGGUACUGAGGAGUCUCUGCCCUUCCAUCGGACUGCCCUUGCCACUGUUUUACCUGAAUUCGCCUCGCUAUCCAUCCAUCUCCUCGGGUUCCGUCCGGGUCCAGCUCUCUUCCACCCUCUGCCACCUUUAUGCCAAGUGAGUGUUCCUUGGGCUACAAGACUGUGUCAGGCUGCAGGUCCUCACAGCCCUUUCCAGUGCUUAGUUCAGGGCCCCGAACCAGGUAAGGGCUUGAUAAAUGUCACUCCUGCUAUUGUGAGAAAUGCCAAUACAUACUUACGUUUUGCUUAUGUGCGGUUUUGCAGGGUGGAAUUCGGAGCAGUUUCUGCAAAGCAAGCUGAAUUAGUCAUUUUCCAAUAGGAUCGAUACCUAGAGACAUCAACAAGCCGGGAGGCUGGGCACACCAGAGCGUUGGGAUCUAAGAAAUAUCCGUGUGAGCACCCUGGGGUGCUCUUCUGGGCUGAUAUGAAUAAUCAUGUUAUCAUAUUCAAGAAUGGAUGAAGAUUUGCUGAAAAUGGAAAAAGACAGGGGUCAAUCUGUUGCUCAUCAAAGGGCAAGCCCAGUUGCCACAGGAAGACACGUGGAUGGAGCGGGAAACAGAACCAGUCUUGAAUCCUGACUGACCAAACCUCCACCAUAGCACAGAAUUCCCGGAGUUCUCUACAGCUCUAAGUACCGGUCAUAUUGAACACAAACGUCAAAUAGGGUCCAUUUGAGGAAAGCCUAAAAAUUUAUUAUGAUUUCAGGUCUAUGCAGACUUGAAAUACAAUUCUUUGGAAGUAAAAAAAUGCAGUGCAAUUCAAUAACUAACAACGGUGUAAUGUCUUGUUGGAGCAGUUAAGUACCAUGGAGACAAGAGUGUAAAAAGCUUUUUAAUAGUUCGUUGGCAGAAGGAACACAAGGUGUCAGAAGUCCAUUUGCUACCUAGUGAAGAUUUGCUGGAGGAGGAGGAAGCUGAAGAGGAGGAGGAAACUACUGGCUCUAAGGACAUUUCUGAAGAUCUGUCUGAAAUUUUCAUGCUAUUCCUGUUCCCCACCGCCAUGGAUAAUUGAAAGCUGGCUGUAGCGUGGCACUCCAUGUUCAGACUUGGAUUCACCAACAUGGUGACUUACUAAAGCAAAAAAUAGACUUUUCUCAUCUGCAAGUCAAUAACGAGGGAAAUGAACAGGAAUUCAAGCUCUAUAAUGGGUAUGGCACCCCCACUGCAUUUCCUGAUCUGAUGACUAUAUUGUUUACAAAAACACAAGAGCCCUCUCGGGUAACCUGCCAGUAA